UUGCAGCCAAUUAAGCCGACUGUGCUCUUUUCCCCAUGGGGGCCCAGUGUGCAAUGGCUGCCAACAGCAGCCUCCUUGGUAGUGUAUGCAACUUGUUGCCUGUACAGGUUGCCCUAAGGGACCUUGGAGACAACU
This is a small nucleolar RNA of Moschus moschiferus (Siberian musk deer), 135 nucleotides long. Its record names the gene SNORA70. It matches the Rfam family "Small nucleolar RNA SNORA70". Rfam says of the family: snoRNA U70 seems to be exclusive to mammals and is a member of the H/ACA class of snoRNA which contain H (ANANNA) and ACA box motifs. H/ACA box snoRNAs are involved in the conversion of uridines to pseudouridines (5-ribosyluracil) a constituent of structural RNAs (transfer, ribosomal, small nuclear, and small nucleolar). NCBI's taxonomy places the organism in Eukaryota, Metazoa, Chordata, Mammalia, Artiodactyla, Moschidae. The record is from Ensembl.